GAUGAACGCUAGCGGGAGGCCUAACACAUGCAAGCCGAGCGGUAUUGUUUCUUCGGAAGUGAGAGAGCGGCGUACGGGUGCGUAACACGUGUGCAACCUGCCUUUAUCUGGGGGAUAGCCUUUCGAAAGGAAGAUUAAUACUCCAUAAUAUAUUGAACGGCAUCGUUUAAUAUUGAAAGCUCCGGCGGAUAGAGAUGGGCACGCGCAAGAUUAGCUAGUUGGUGAGGUAACGGCUCACCAAGGCGAUUAUCUUUAGGGGGCCUGAGAGGGUGAUCCCCCACACUGGGACUGAGACACGGACCAGACUCCUACGGGAGGCAGCAGUGAGGAAUAUUGGUCAAUGGGUGCAAGCCUGAACCAGCCAUCCCGCGUGAAGGACGACUGCCCUAUGGGUUGUAAACUUCUUUUGUAUAGGGAUAAACCUACCCUCGUGAGGGUAACUGAAGGUACUAUACGAAUAAGCACCGGCUAACUCCGUGCCAGCCGCCGCCGUAA
Molecule: ribosomal RNA, 495 nt
Filed under: uncultured bacterium
Lineage: Bacteria
Description: partial 16S ribosomal RNA
Rfam family: Bacterial small subunit ribosomal RNA
Source: RNAcentral